CCCUCUAAGUAGAGUAUCUUCUCCAUUCUUCUUUCGCUUAAAAAAUCCUAACUUGUUUGCUGUGGUUCUCGGAAUCAAGAUUGCAACGAUUCUUAAUUUGUAAGGCUUCAAGAUCUGAAAACGUAGAACUGGAAUUUCAGUGGUCAUCAGUGGAUCAACCCUAAUCUGCAAAACAGAACGACUACAGUACAGUGCUUAGCAGGCUCAAAAUAGCAGUGCAAGGAAAAAAAAUUAAACAAUAUCUCAUUUGUGUGCUAGGUACACUGUUUCGCAGGCUCAAAAUAGCAGUGUAAGGAAUAAAAUCGUACAAUACAUCAUUUGUGUGAUUGGGAGAUUGGGAAGUCUAC
Molecule: long non-coding RNA, 347 nt
Organism: Ipomoea nil (Japanese morning glory)
Lineage: Eukaryota; Viridiplantae; Streptophyta; Magnoliopsida; Solanales; Convolvulaceae
Exons: 3
Source: RefSeq, a predicted model, not a curated record